Equus quagga is the source of this 2104-nucleotide long non-coding RNA. RefSeq lists it as uncharacterized. The transcript has 4 exons. NCBI's taxonomy places the organism in Eukaryota, Metazoa, Chordata, Mammalia, Perissodactyla, Equidae. The record is from RefSeq and is a predicted model, not a curated record.
AAUAUCCCUGCUUCGUGAGCGAAAACUGCCUUUGACUGUCUUUGCUGACAGCAGUGAUCAAAACAGUCUAUGAUAAAUCGAGGGUAGAAAACCAGCGGUGGGUAGUAAGGGGCCCUGCGAACUUGUACCAGUAAAGAUGCUAUAUCCAGAACUUCAACUGAAACUGGCGCUACUCCUGAAUAAAUGUGAAAUAAUCUACAUUCUCCAAGACGCUCUGGCUUUUGUCCUGUCUAAAUAGGGCUGCAAAAGCAAUAGCCUGCAGUUCAAAAGCACCUGCAGCCAGAAGAGUCAUUUGAUGCUCGGGGCUCUGAGAAGAGACCAGCUCAGUAGCCGCAUGUGGAUCCGACUUCACUGAGGCUGGAUACUCCUAGACUGAAAGUGUCUUCACAGAUCUGGCUUCUCCACUGGUUUCUAGGUUAAGAGAUUAUUUCUCAGAGCCCUUCGGCUGAAGAGUCAUUUCUGAGAUUGACCAGUGUCUGCUGUUGAAAGGAGCAACACACACAUGUCCCAGGCUGUGCUCUGUGAGCUUGCACUGGGCACAGGCCCUAAUCCAGAAUUGAGAAGGAAACAAGAACAACGGCAGGAGAUGCUCCCUUCCUCUGCUUGAAGUCUCGGCUUAACAUCGCUCUGUGAGAUUAUCAGUGGACCUGAAAAUGGGAAGAGUCCGUCCUUUGAUUUGCCAAAAGACUCAACGCAAACAGCUGGAACCAGAGCAGAAUUAAAAGCAGAGUUAAACUCAACACUCCUUGCUAAGGAAACCCGAUCAUGAUUCUCAGCCGAGGCCAUCUCCAGCAUCCUGUCUGGGACCGGGCAGAGGGUUAGCUGAGAGAUGCUGGGAAGUCUGCUUUGGCUGGUGGUUCCAACAACACUUCUAGUCCUGAGACAAAAACCAGGAGAGUACAGUUGUUCCUGAUUGGUGGUAAGAUAACACUCAAAUUGAAAACGAUGAUUCGUCAGCUUUAUGGAGAGAACACAGGCUCACACCUCCCAAUAUGUCUCAGUCUGCAAUUAAUUGUCAAUGUGCCAUUAGAAGCCAGCCUCACAGUUAUUAAACAAAGCAAAGAUGGUGAAAACAAAACAAGUUUAUGAUCUACAACAAAGAAAAAGAGCCAAUAGAAUCGGGGACAAUACUCCAUGUGAAAAAAUAUUGUCCAACUGGAAGAGAGGAAGCAACUGAUUAUUAUGCAAAAAAAAGAGGCAACUACAAAAAAGAAUGGGAGAGGAGGAAAAGGCACACGGAUUGAAACAAUCAUGAUCAGAAAGAGCAGGAGCUGAUGUCAUACUUGGCACUCGCUGAAGUAAUACUCAUUCCUCUGAGGGAUGGUUGAAUACGUUAAGGAAAAAUAAAAAAUAUACUAUUUGCAACCAUACCAGACUUGAUCAGGAAUGAACUCCAGAGACAUCUAUGCAUGUGGAAGGAGAUAGACACCAACGAGUUUGCGUCACAACCUGGCUGUCACGUCCCACUUACCGAAGAACUUACCACUGACGGUUUGAAACAAAAUGCAUAUUUGUUUUUAUCAAAUAAACUCAGGAAAAUAGUACUAAAAAAUCUAUGAGUUUCAAAAGAGGUUUGGCUAAGUGCUUACAACGUCCACUGCAGUGUUUGAAGCAGCUGCCCUCCUUAGCAAAGUUGCCUGGGAACUGACCAGCCCAAAGAAGGCCUGGACCACCGUAUUUCAGUCAAAGUGUUCAGGAGCAGAAGCAAGAGAUAGCCAAACUACGCACAUCUCCAGUCUAUAAAUGCGGACUGCUAUAAGUUGAAAUAUCCUAAAUCGUCUUUGCGAGUCUCCUUUUCUUAGCUGUUCAUAAUCGUGGAUUUCCACUCAUGCAUCUCACGUUAUCCCCUUGGAAGGAAUUCACUAAAAUGUUCAUGGUAUAUUCACUACACUUGGGUGCACACCAAGUCAACAUUCAUUAGAUGUUUCUGAAUAUGAUUAUUUCAAUAGAUAUUUUUGGCAUUGUUUUUUAAUUAAAGAAAUUGUUUUUGUAUCCUAUCCUAUUCUAACUGUCCCAGCUUGCCCCUCAAGGAGUGUAAUCUCUUCCUUCUUCAGGUCUUGAUGGCUUCUGUACCUCUCUUAGGAAAUACUCUAUUUUACCUUUA